RNAcentral lists this ribosomal RNA (497 nucleotides) under uncultured bacterium. RNAcentral describes it as "bacterial SSU rRNA". It matches the Rfam family "Bacterial small subunit ribosomal RNA", at positions 903 to 1397 of the family's 1533-position model. The record is from RNAcentral.
AAAGGAAUAGACGGGGGCCCGCACAAGCGGUGGAGUAUGUGGUUUAAUUCGACGCAACGCGAAGAACCUUACCAGGACUUGACAUUGAUUGACGUCCAUAGAGAUAUGGAUUUCUUCUUCGGAAGACAAGAAAACAGGUGGUGCAUGGUUGUCGUCAGCUCGUGUCGUGAGAUGUUGGGUUAAGUCCCGCAACGAGCGCAACCCCUGUACUAUGUUGCCAGCAAGCAAGAUGGGAACUCAUAGUAGACAGCCGCAGAUAAUGCGGAGGAAGGCGGGGAUGACGUCAAAUCAUCAUGCCCCUUAUGUUCUGGGCUACACACGUACUACAAUGGGCUUAAAUAGAGGGAAGCGAAGUCGCGAGGCGGAGCAAACCCCAAAAACAAGCUCUCAGUUCGGAUUGCAGGCUGCAACUCGCCUGCAUGAAGUCGGAAUCGCUAGUAAUCGCAGGUCAGCAUACUGCGGUGAAUACGUUCCCGGGCCUUGUACACACCGCCCGU